RNAcentral lists this ribosomal RNA (277 nucleotides) under uncultured Aminicenantes bacterium. RNAcentral describes it as "partial 16S ribosomal RNA". It matches the Rfam family "Bacterial small subunit ribosomal RNA", at positions 1108 to 1382 of the family's 1533-position model. Lineage: Bacteria; Candidatus Aminicenantota. The record is from RNAcentral.
CCACUUAGUUGUCAGCGAGUCAUGUCGGAUACUCGUAAUGGGACUGCCGGUGACGAGCCGGAGGAAGGUGGGGAUGACGUCAAGUCAGCAUGGCCUUUAUGUCCAGGGCCACACACGUGCUACAAUGGACGGUACAGAGGGACGCAAGACCGCAAGGUGGAGCAAAUCCUCAAAACCGUUCUCAGUUCGGAUUGCAGGCUGCAAUUCGCCUGCAUGAAGCUGGAAUUGCUAGUAAUCGCAGAUCAGCUACGCUGCGGUGAAUACGUUCUCGGGCCUU